Non-coding RNA from Pelobates cultripes (western spadefoot toad), 248 nucleotides. The record is from the annotation of a GenBank genome assembly. Lineage: Eukaryota; Metazoa; Chordata; Amphibia; Anura; Pelobatidae.
UGGAGCCUAUGAGUCCCAUAGGAGGUCUUAGUUGAUGCAAUAGGUCGUGAACCGACCAGGAGCCCCUGAAAUCGUCCAGGCAACUAGUGCAAGUUGUCCUUCCAUGACAAGGGAGUGGGCUUCCCCUCAAGGUCCCGUCGGAAGUAGAGGGAAGGUAGGGAGUAGUAGAGGGUCUUCGCGAGACAUCUCCAGGCAAUCCGGGAAACCACGGUUGGCCCUGUCCGAGGGGUGUCCUGAGCAGGAGCGAU